This 253-nucleotide ribosomal RNA is filed under the name uncultured bacterium. RNAcentral's name for it is "partial 16S ribosomal RNA". It matches the Rfam family "Bacterial small subunit ribosomal RNA", at positions 524 to 776 of the family's 1533-position model. The record is from RNAcentral.
UACGUAGGGUGCAAGCGUUAAUCGGAAUUACUGGGCGUAAAGCGUGCGCAGGCGGUUUUGUAAGUCUGAUGUGAAAUCCCCGGGCUCAACCUGGGAAUUGCAUUGGAGACUGCAAGGCUAGAAUCUGGCAGAGGGGGGUAGAAUUCCGCGUGUAGCAGUGAAAUGCGUAGAGAUGUGGAGGAACACCGAUGGCGAAGGCAGCCCCCUGGGUCAAGACUGACGCUCAUGCACGAAAGCGUGGGGAGCAAACAGG